This is a non-coding RNA of Schizosaccharomyces pombe (fission yeast), 591 nucleotides long. The record is from the annotation of a GenBank genome assembly. Lineage: Eukaryota; Fungi; Ascomycota; Schizosaccharomycetes; Schizosaccharomycetales; Schizosaccharomycetaceae.
CGCACUUCCUUCCAUGACAGGUAUGUCUUUAGUCGAUUCACCUUUGCACGAUCAUGGCGAAUUAAGAAAAAUAAAUCUUCCACAGUAAUAGAUCUUGAGCCACGUCGUAAAGCUAGCUCAUUUGCCUGAAUUAACAUCUCCAUCACUUGUCCACGUAUUAGCUCUUCGACUAAUUGUGUGGUUUCUGGGAGAGGAUCCUGCACCUCCCCUAGAAUGAACAUCAUUUGUUGAAUUUCAACACGAUAUUUACUGGUUCUGCCAGUCUCAGUCAUUCCGCAUUGCUUAUUUUUAACCACUUCCCAAAGUGGUGGGUAGUUGACAAGUUGCUGAACUCCAAACUGACAAGAAAAAUAUAGUUUCCAGUAAGAAGGACUAAUUGAUGGGGCAUAAAGUGCUUUAAGUUGAAAAAGAAAAACCAUUGUCAAACGUUUAGCUUGCAAAAAGCAAACAAAUUUUAUGAGAGCUGGAUACACUAUCCAAACUGCAAACCCAGUCCAUUCUUUCGUUACAGAACAUCCAGUACAACUAGUUAGUGAAGAAGUGUUAUUAGAAGAGUAACUCCUGUCUUUUUUUGAAGCAUAGGUUUAUUAA